GACGAACGCUGGCGGCGUGCCUAAUACAUGCAAGUCGAGCGAAGUUUUUCUGGUGCUUGCACUAGAAAAACUUAGCGGCGAACGGGUGAGUAACACGUAAAGAACCUGCCUCAUAGACUGGGACAACUAUUGGAAACGAUAGCUAAUACCGGAUAACAGUAUUUCUCGCAUGAGAGAUAUUUAAAAGUUGGUUAUGCUAACACUAUGAGAUGGCUUUGCGGUGCAUUAGCUAGUUGGUGGGGUAAAGGCCCACCAAGGCGACGAUGCAUAGCCGACCUGAGAGGGUGAUCGGCCACACUGGGACUGAGACACGGCCCAGACUCCUACGGGAGGCAGCAGUAGGGAAUCUUCCGCAAUGGGCGAAAGCCUGACGGAGCAACGCCGCGUGAGUGAAGAAGGAUUUCGGUUCGUAAAGCUCUGUUGUUAGGGAAGAAUGGGUAUGUAGUAACUAUACAUGUAAGAGACGGUACCUAACCAGAAAGCCACGGCUAACUACGUG
RNAcentral lists this ribosomal RNA (499 nucleotides) under uncultured bacterium. RNAcentral describes it as "partial 16S ribosomal RNA". It matches the Rfam family "Bacterial small subunit ribosomal RNA", at positions 28 to 507 of the family's 1533-position model. The record is from RNAcentral.